RNAcentral lists this ribosomal RNA (441 nucleotides) under uncultured bacterium. RNAcentral describes it as "partial 16S ribosomal RNA". It matches the Rfam family "Bacterial small subunit ribosomal RNA", at positions 338 to 795 of the family's 1533-position model. The record is from RNAcentral.
CCUACGGGAGGCAGCAGUGGGGGAUAUUGCACAAUGGGGGGAACCCUGAUGCAGCGACGCCGCGUGGGUGAAGGAGUGCUUCGGCAUGUAAAGCCCUAUCGGCAGGGAAGAAGCAAGACGGUACCUGACUAAGAAGCCCCGGCUAACUACGUUCCAGCAGCCGCGGUAAUACGUAGGGGGCGAGCGUUAUCCGGAUUCACUGGGUGUAAAGGGAGCGUAGACGGCCAUGCAAGCCAGGGGUGAAAGCCCGGGGCCCAACCCCGGGACUGCCCUUGGAACUGUGCGGCUAGAGUGCGGGAGGGGCAGGCGGAAUGCCUGGUGUAGCGGUGAAAUGCGUAGAUAUCAGGAGGAACACCGGCGGCGAAGGCGGCCUGCUGGACUGCGACUGACGUUGAGGCUCGAAAGCGUGGGGAGCGAACAGGAUUAGAUACCCUUGUAGUC